CUACGAAGGUCCCAAGCGUUAUUCGGAAUCACUGGGCGUAAAGAGUACGUAGGCGGUUUGGUAAGUCAGGUGUGAAAUCCCGGAGCUCAACUCCGGAACUGCAUCCGAUACUGCCAGACUUGAGUAAUGGAGAGGCAGGUGGAAUUCUCGGUGUAGCAGUGAAAUGCGUGGAUAUCGAGAGGAAGACCAAUGGCGAAGGCAGCCUGCUGGACAUUUACUGACGCUGAGGUACGAAGGCUAGGGGAGCGAAAGGGAUUAGAAACCCGAGUAGUCC
This 274-nucleotide ribosomal RNA is filed under the name uncultured bacterium. RNAcentral's name for it is "partial 16S ribosomal RNA". It matches the Rfam family "Bacterial small subunit ribosomal RNA", at positions 523 to 796 of the family's 1533-position model. The record is from RNAcentral.